GACAGAGGGUGCAAACGUUGUUCGGAAUUACUGGGCGUAAAGCGCGUGUAGGCGGCCAUCUAAGUCGGGCGUGAAAUCCCACGGCUCAACCGUGGAAGUGCACUCGAAACUGGAUGGCUAGAGUCCUGGAGAGGAAGGUGGAAUGCUUGGUGUAGAGGUGAAAUUCGUAGAUAUCAAGCGGAACACCGGUGGCGAAGGCGGCCUUCUGGACAGUGACUGACGCUGAGACGGCGAAAAGCGUGGGGAGCAACAGG
Molecule: ribosomal RNA, 254 nt
Filed under: uncultured bacterium
Lineage: Bacteria
Description: partial 16S ribosomal RNA
Rfam family: Bacterial small subunit ribosomal RNA
Source: RNAcentral